UGGGGAAUAUUGCACAAUGGAGGGAACUCUGAUGCAGCGACGCCGCGUGAGUGAUGAAGGAAUUCGUUUCGUAAAACUCUGUUCUAUGGGAAGAAAAGGACUGUACCAUAGGAGAAAGCUCCGGCUAAAUACGUGCCAGCAGUCGCGGUAAUACGUAUGGAGCGAGCGUUGUCCGGAAUUAUUGGGCGUAAAGGGUGCGCAGGCGGCUUUACAAGUUGGAUGUGAAAUAUUGUGGCUCAACCACAAACGUGCAUCCAAAACUGCAAAGCUUGAGUUAAGGAGAGGUAAGUGGAAUUCCUGGUGUAGCGGUGGAAUGCGUAGAUAUCAGGAGGAAUACCGGUGGCGAAGGCGACUUACUGGACUUAAACUGACGCUCAGGCACGAAAGCGUGGGGAGCAAACAGG
RNAcentral lists this ribosomal RNA (404 nucleotides) under Fusobacteriota bacterium. Its description in RNAcentral is "Fusobacteria bacterium partial 16S ribosomal RNA". It matches the Rfam family "Bacterial small subunit ribosomal RNA", at positions 355 to 776 of the family's 1533-position model. Lineage: Bacteria; Fusobacteriati; Fusobacteriota. The record is from RNAcentral.